GCCUCAGUGGCUCCGAGGCGAGAGCGCCGGCCUACGGAUCCCCAGGUAACGGGUUCGAAUCCCGACCGAGGUG
Non-coding RNA from Ixodes scapularis (black-legged tick), 73 nucleotides. Lineage: Eukaryota; Metazoa; Arthropoda; Arachnida; Ixodida; Ixodidae. The record is from Rfam.